This is a non-coding RNA of Paramuricea clavata, 73 nucleotides long. The record is from the annotation of a GenBank genome assembly. NCBI's taxonomy places the organism in Eukaryota, Metazoa, Cnidaria, Anthozoa, Malacalcyonacea, Plexauridae.
GAUCGCGUAGCUCAGUUGGCAGAGCAUUGGGCUAGUAUUCCAAAGGUCGUAGGUUCGAUUCCCACCGUGGUCA